CACGUAGGGUGCGAGCGUUGUCCGGAAUUAUUGGGCGUAAAGAGCUCGUAGGCGGUGUGUCGCGUCGGCCGUGAAAACCUGCAGCUUAACUGUGGGCUUGCGGUCGAUACGGGCAUCACUGGAGUUCGGCAGGGGAGACUGGAAUUCCUGGUGUAGCGGUGGAAUGCGUAGAUAUCUGGAAGAACACCGGUGGCGAAGGCGGUGGUCUGGGCCGAAACUGACGCUGAGGAGCGAAAGCCAGGGGAGCAAACGGG
Molecule: ribosomal RNA, 254 nt
Filed under: uncultured bacterium
Lineage: Bacteria
Description: partial 16S ribosomal RNA
Rfam family: Bacterial small subunit ribosomal RNA
Source: RNAcentral